ACGCUGGCGGCAGGCUUAACACAUGCAAGUCGAACGGUAACAGGGAUUAGCUUGCUAAUCUGCUGACGAGUGGCGGACGGGUGAGUAAUGCUUGGGAAUCUGGCUUAUGGAGGGGGAUAACUACGGGAAACUGUAGCUAAUACCGCGUAAAAUCUUCGGAUUAAAGGGUGGGACUUUCGAGCCACCUGCCAUAAGAUGAGCCCAAGUGGGAUUAGGUAGUUGGUUAGGUAAAGGCUGACCAAGCCGACGAUCUCUAGCUGGUCUGAGAGGAUGACCAGCCACACUGGAACUGAGACACGGUCCAGACUCCUACGGGAGGCAGCAGUGGGGAAUAUUGCACAAUGGGGGGAACCCUGAUGCAGCCAUGCCGCGUGAAUGAAGAAGGCCUUCGGGUUGUAAAGUUCUUUCGGUGACGAGGAAGGUUGAUAGGUUAAUAGCCUAUCAAAUUGACGUUAAUCACAGAAGAAGCACCGGCUAACUCCGUGCCAGCAGCCGCGGUAAUACGGGGGGUGCGAGCGUUAAUCGGAAUAACUGGGCGUAAAGGGCACGCAGGCGGUGACUUAAGUGAGAUGUGAAAGCCCCGAGCUUAACUUGGGAAUUGCAUUUCAUACCGGGUCGCUAGAGUACUUUAGGGAGGGGUAGAAUUCCACGUGUAGCGGUGAAAUGCGUAGAGAUGUGGAGGAAUACCGAAGGCGAAGGCAGCCCCUUGGGAAUGUACUGACGCUCAUGUGCGAAAGCGUGGGGAGCAAACAGGAUUAGAUACCCUGGUAGUCCACGCUGUAAACGAUGUCGAUUUGGGGAUUGGGCUUUGAGCUUGGUGCCCGUAGCUAACGUGAUAAAUCGACCGCCUGGGGAGUACGGCCGCAAGGUUAAAACUCAAAUGAAUUGACGGGGGCCCGCACAAGCGG
RNAcentral lists this ribosomal RNA (908 nucleotides) under uncultured bacterium. RNAcentral describes it as "bacterial SSU rRNA". It matches the Rfam family "Bacterial small subunit ribosomal RNA", at positions 33 to 932 of the family's 1533-position model. The record is from RNAcentral.